RNAcentral lists this transfer RNA (85 nucleotides) under Bordetella sp. Its description in RNAcentral is "tRNA-Leu". It matches the Rfam family "tRNA". From Rfam's summary of the family: Transfer RNA (tRNA) molecules are approximately 80 nucleotides in length. Lineage: Bacteria; Pseudomonadati; Pseudomonadota; Betaproteobacteria; Burkholderiales; Alcaligenaceae. The record is from RNAcentral.
GCCCAGGUGGCGAAACUGGUAUACGCGCAUGGUUCAGGUCUAUGUACUGAAAAGUUUGGAGGUUCAAAUCCUCUCCUGGGCACCA